Molecule: non-coding RNA, 548 nt
Organism: Hippoglossus stenolepis (Pacific halibut)
Lineage: Eukaryota; Metazoa; Chordata; Actinopteri; Pleuronectiformes; Pleuronectidae
Source: the annotation of a RefSeq genome assembly
GUCACCUUCAGUCCGCUCAGAGCAGAGGAAUCAUUUCCAUAGAGAGGAGGCUUUGCAUCGUCAGCUGAUCCUCCACUGAACUGAGAAGCUUUAUAGUCCUGUGACUCCAACUCUGCAGGACUCAGACCCGUCAGUCGACCACAACCACCAUGACUCUCAUCACCCUCCUCAUCUGGACGCUGGCCUGCUGCAGCUUCACAGGAUGCAGCGGCCAGGUGACUGUGACUCAGCCUCCAGUCGUGACAUUUACUCCAGGAUCCACUGUCACGCUGACCUGUAAAACCAACCCCAGUGUUUAUAGGGAUAGUUAUGGUGAUUAUAUGUCCUGGUACCAGCAGAAACCUGGACAGGCUCCCAAGCUUCUUAUAUACUAUGCAUCAACUCUAUAUUCAGGAACACCAGCUCGGUUUAGUGGCAGUGGAAGCAGCUCUGACUUCUCUUUGACCAUCAGUGGAGUUCAGAGUGAAGAUGCAGCAGUUUACUACUGUCAGAGCCUCCAUUAUUUAAACGGAGCAUAUCUGUUGACACAGUGAUUUACAGUCGUACAA